UGUCACUAGGCAUAGCUACCAGGUAACUCGGGGGAGUGGAAGGCCAAAAGUGCCGAUGAAGCUCUUCUGCUCUGGGUCUGUGAGCCACAGUGACUCCAUCUUGUGAACUCUCACCUACUUCUGUGCUAACUGCUGACAUGCUGAAGCGGAAAUGGAAGGGUCAGCUUUUCUAGCAGGCACCUGCUGUAAACUGGCCUUGCAAGGCCAAGAGAUAAGCAGACGAAUGGGAACUUUUCUAAUUGUAACUGCUAGAGAAGGGAGGGGUGGGAGGGGUAAGAGGGAGGAACAGAACAAAGGCUUACACAGAAACUGCUUGGAAUAUAAAAGGGAAAAAUUUAUUUGUAUUUGUUGCACUUGAUUUGAGACAUGCUGGUCUCCUAGUGCCAUUUCAGAGCUCUGAAAUAAACUUGGCUUGCUUUCUCCCCUCGGUGUCUUUAUUGGUGCCAAGCACACCGGGCAACGAACCCCUGUUUGCCAUCUCGGGGCCCAGUUCUGGGCAGGCAACAGUUUUGGCGCCCAACGUGGGGCUCGAGGCUGAAAUUUAGCCUUGCGCGGAUCCCUCCUGGCGGCCGACAGAUUACAGCGACGACCGACGCCCAGCGCGCACCGGUGACUUCAUCGGGGGCCUCGGCGGAGACGUGGUUUGCUCUACCCCGGAGGGCACAACGGUGCAACGCACUCAGACAGUGGAGAAGCAGCUGCGGGUGAUGGUGGGGAACCGGUCCCGUGGAUAGGGCGACGCUGCAGAACCAGACCCUUGGAUAAGGCUCUGGCCAGAGACUUGGAGGAGUGGGAUAAUGAAGACAAAGCCCUCCUUCUGCAAUAUAUAAAUGAUUUGCUAAUUGCUGCUGUGGGUCUAACCCCCUGUCUUAGAGCUACUGUGAGUCUCCUGAACUUUGUUGGACUCCGAGGAUACAGGGUAGUGGACUGUGGGCUAAACCUCUGUAUGCAUGUGUUAAGGGAGCGGAUCAUGACCCCUUUCACUGGUCCCCAGAAGCGGACAGGGCAUUUCAGUUACUAGGUGCCUGGAAACGUCCUGUGGCAUACCUCUCUAAGCAACUGGAUCAAGUUUCAAAGGGAUGGCCAGCCUGUUUGAGGGCGGUCGCAGUCACUGCCCUAGUGCUUGGGGAAGCUGAAAAACUGACACUGGGAGGAACUGUGCAAGUGUAUAUACCCCAUAUGGUUCAAGCCUUGCUGGACACUAAGGGUGGUCUUUGGCUCACACAGGCUCGGGUUGCUCGGUACCAAGCGAAGCUGUUAGAGAAUCCUGAAGUCACCCUGCAAACCUGUCCCUCCCUUAAUCCAGCUACCCUGUUACCAGAGACAGAAAAGCAGGAACAUGACUGUCUGGAAAUCAUAGAUGCCCACUACUCUAGCCACCCAGAUUUGAAGGAUCAGCCACUCCCAAAUGCUGAUUUGGAAUGGUAUACGGAUGGCAGUAGUACUGUGGUGGAUGGGCAAAGGAGGGCGAGUUAUGCUAUUGUGACACUUCAUGAUACCGUGGAAGCUGAGAGUUUACCGGCUGGGACAUCUGCCCAACUUGCUGAACUAGUGGCCCUGACUCGUGCACUCGAGCUGGCAAAAGACAAACGGGUUAAUAUCUUUACUGACUCAAAGUAUGCUUUUGGGGUAUUGCAUGCUCAUGCUGGUCUGUGGAAGCAAAGGGGAAUGCGAACAGCCCAAGGCUCUCCGGUUAACCAUGGGUCUCAAAUUCUCCGGCUGUUAGAAGUGGUACACCUCCCCUCAGCAGUAGCAGUGGUACAUUCCAAAGCCCAUCAAAGGGAAGAUCAAAAUGUACCAAGGGCAAUGCCAGAGCAGACAGGGAAGCCAAGCGUGCUGCUACCCUGAAAUCACCAACUGAGGAGAAUGCCCAAAUGCAUGCCCUUAUCCCAUCAGUGGGUGAGCUUGCAGCCCCUCAGUACUCCCAUGAUGACAGAAACCUGGCUGACAGUCUCAGUCUCCAGGAAAGGAGGGAUGGCUUUAUUCCACAGAGGGAAGAAUCCUCCUGCCCAAGGGCUUGAUUCGACCAGUGUUGCAGAAACUGCAUCAAACCACACACGCAGGCAGAGAGGCUCUUACCCAGAUUAUGAAUAAAUAUUUUCUAACCUCUGGACUUAAACCCCUAGCAACACAGGUACAGGCUGAAUGUUUAAUCUGCCAAAAGAAUAACCCUCGACCAGGAGUAGCAGUGCCACCAGCCACCCUGGAACCUACCCCAGGCCCAGGAUUGGUGUGGCUAAUAGACUUUACUGAGUUUCCCAGGACCCAAGGGUACAGGUACCUCCUCGUCUUGGUGGAUGGAUUCAGUGGAUGCCUGAGGCCUUCCCAUGUCGUAACAACACUGCCAAGACAGUGGCUCUUAAGUUUGUGAAGGAGAUCAUUCCUCGCUUCGGCCUCCCCCUGUGGAUGGAAUCUGACAAUGGAACACACUUCACAUCUCAAGUGGUUCAAAAGAUAUCAAGUGCUCUGCAAAUUCCCUGGAAUCUCCACACACCAUGACGACCACAAGCCAGUGGAGUAGUGGAACGCACAAAUCAGACACUCAAGCGACACCUCUCAAAGGUCUGUCAGGAGGCCUCUCUUAAGUGGCCUGAUGCUUUGCCCCUUGUGUUACUCUCUCCCCAAGGGUAGGUUAGGGCUUAGUCCCUUCGAGAUUAUGUUUGGAAGGGCAUGGCCUUUGAAUGGUACACCGGUUCUGGCAGGGGAGUGGGAGAUGGGGUAUGGUUUCUUGUCUCAGUACAUGUGCUCUCUGUCUGCUGUUCUUUCUUUUCUUCACAGAUACAUCAAAGAUUCACAGCCUCUUCUGCUGGAUACCCCUGGUCCACUCCUUCCAGCCUGGUGACUCCGUUCUCAUGCGGAUCUGGAAGGACAAGCCUCUCCAAGAGAAGUGGAAGGGACCCCACAUUGUCCUGCUUGUUUCCCACACAGCGGCAAAAGUCGAAGGACACAAGAACUGGAUUCAUCACUCUCGACUGAAAGCAGUACCCGUUCCUGAACAGUGGACUGUCCAGCCUGCUGAGAAGACUGCUAACGACGAUUUGGGACUUAAGCUGUUAUUGAAAAGACAGUAAGGGUCACUGGAAAUGCCUCGUGAUCUCUCAGAACAGCCACAGCGCAUACUCCCCGAGAGAACCCUGAGCAUUGGUUUUAUCUAUACCUGGUUUGCAGGCAUUAGUAAGUGUAGAUUUUAUAUUGGUCCUGGUAUAAGUCUCACUGUUCCUUUACUAAAUGCCACCGGUUGGCAAACCGGCGCUGCAUUCUUUGCUCUUUCACACAAGCCACCCUACGGGACCUACAAGACAACAAUGGAAAGGCUAGUUAUGGUGAAGCAUUCUGGGUUUGUGGUAAUAGUGCCUAUAAAUGGCUCCCUCAUGGUUGGCAUGGUAACUGUUACAAAGGCUAUCUCGCUCCUCCCAUCCGUGUUCUCACCAAGGCUCCCUCAGGUCGCCCUAGGUACUAUCGGUCCCUGAGAGCUACCAUUGAACCCAUUGGAGAAGGAGACAGGUUUGGGAUGAUAUCCCUCCCUACCUAUGGGGUGGGACGGCUAACCCAACUCUACAGAAGACUGUCUAAAUUUCUCACUCAGUUUGCCAAUGAUACCCUGGCCAUAGAGAAACGCAUAAGUUCUGAGCUGUACCAGCUUCGACUGCUGGCUUUGCAGAACCGCCAGGCCCUAGAUUAUGUGUUAGCUUUAUGAGGCGGGGUAUGUGCCCUUAUUGGAGAAGAAUGUUGUACCUAUGUCCCAGAGUUUUCACAGGAUAUUAACAAGCAUAUCUUGUCAGCCAAACAGGCCUUGAAUCAGUGGAAGGCCCAGGACGGGGAACACACUAUUUUGGAUUUCCUUUGGGGUUGGUUAUCUGGUCUAAGGGGACUAGGGGGAAGCAUUGUUCGCACCUUGCUCACAGGUGUGGUGGUAUGUUUUGUCCUUUUCUUUUGCUCAUUUGCUGUAAAGUGCUCAUAUGUAAGAUUUGUACCUCCCCCUUCCCAGAGGUCCCUUUAUAUUCUCUCAUUGAUAAUCCUGAAUGCAUGGAGCUUAAUUGCAUUUUGGUUUUAGAGUAUGAGAAAACUCUAACAAAGGUUUGUUGAGUGUUCUCAAAGGAGGGAUUGUUGGUGUCACUAGGCAUAGCUACCAGGUAACUCGGGGGACUGGAAGGCCAAAAGUGCCGAUGAAGCUCUUCUGCUCUGGGUCUGUGAGCCACAGUGACUCCAUCUUGUGAACUCUCACCUACUUCUGUGCUAACUGCUGACAUGCUGAAGCAGAAAUGGAAGGGUCAGCUUUUCUAGCAGGCAGCUGCUGUAAACAGGCCUUGCAAGGCCAAGAGAUAAGCAGACGAAUGGGAACUUUUCUAAUUGUAACUGCUAGAGAAGGGAGGGGUGGGAGGGGUAAGAGGGAGUAACAGAACAAAGGCUUACACAGAAACUGCUUGGAAUAUAAAAGGGGAUAUUUUAUUUGUAUUUGUUGCACUGGAUUUGAGACAUGCUGGUCUCCUAAUGCCAUUUCAGAGCUCUGAAAUAAACUUGGCUUGCUUUCUC
Malaclemys terrapin pileata is the source of this 4533-nucleotide long non-coding RNA. RefSeq lists it as uncharacterized. The transcript is spliced from 2 exons. The record is from RefSeq and is a predicted model, not a curated record. NCBI's taxonomy places the organism in Eukaryota, Metazoa, Chordata, Testudines, Emydidae.